Molecule: small nucleolar RNA, 128 nt
Organism: Phyllostomus discolor (pale spear-nosed bat)
Lineage: Eukaryota; Metazoa; Chordata; Mammalia; Chiroptera; Phyllostomidae
Product: small nucleolar RNA SNORA64/SNORA10 family
Exons: 1
Source: RefSeq, a predicted model, not a curated record
ACUCUCUCAGCUCUGCACAGUUACACCUGUUUGCACACAUAGACUUUUGUAAUCAGGAGAUAAAAGAUCUCCUCAGGACCUCAGGUUGGCCUCACAGUGGCUAGUCUUUCCUAAAGGGCCUAAGAUAA